UACAGAGGGGGCGAGCGUUGUUCGGAAUUACUGGGCGUAAAGGGCGCGUAGGCGGCCCUCUAAGUCGAACGUGAAAUCCCCGGGCUCAACCCGGGAACUGCGUCCGAUACUGUAGGGCUCGAAUCCGGGAGAGGGAUGUGGAAUUCCAGGUGUAGCGGUGAAAUGCGUAGAUAUCUGGAGGAACACCGGUGGCGAAGGCGGCAUCCUGGACCGGUAUUGACGCUGAGGCGCGAAAGCCAGGGGAGCAAACGGG
This 253-nucleotide ribosomal RNA is filed under the name uncultured bacterium. RNAcentral describes it as "partial 16S ribosomal RNA". It matches the Rfam family "Bacterial small subunit ribosomal RNA", at positions 524 to 776 of the family's 1533-position model. The record is from RNAcentral.